Molecule: ribosomal RNA, 253 nt
Filed under: uncultured bacterium
Lineage: Bacteria
Description: partial 16S ribosomal RNA
Rfam family: Bacterial small subunit ribosomal RNA
Source: RNAcentral
GACGAAGGGGGCUAGCGUUGUUCGGAAUCACUGGGCGUAAAGCGCACGUAGGCGGACUUUUAAGUCAGAGGUGAAAUCCCAAGGCUCAACCUUGGAACUGCCUUUGAUACUGGAAGUCUUGAGUUCGGGAGAGGUGAGUGGAACUGCGAGUGUAGAGGUGAAAUUCGUAGAUAUUCGCAAGAACACCAGUGGCGAAGGCGGCUCACUGGCCCGAUACUGACGCUGAGGUGCGAAAGCGUGGGGAGCAAACAGG